GGUCGAUGAUGAGUUGGCAUGGAUUCUGAAUCUAAAAAGUUGAUUAUUACUACUUUAGCUCUAGAAUCACUCUGAGACCUG
This 81-nucleotide small nucleolar RNA is filed under the name Microcebus murinus (gray mouse lemur). Its description in RNAcentral is "Small nucleolar RNA SNORD45 (ENSMICG00000022783.3)". It matches the Rfam family "Small nucleolar RNA SNORD45". From Rfam's summary of the family: U45 belongs to the C/D class of snoRNA which contain the C (UGAUGA) and D (CUGA) box motifs. Lineage: Eukaryota; Metazoa; Chordata; Mammalia; Primates; Cheirogaleidae. The record is from Rfam by way of RNAcentral.